Molecule: ribosomal RNA, 253 nt
Filed under: uncultured bacterium
Lineage: Bacteria
Description: partial 16S ribosomal RNA
Rfam family: Bacterial small subunit ribosomal RNA
Source: RNAcentral
UACGGAGGGUGCAAGCGUUGUCCGGAUUUAUUGGGUUUAAAGGGUGCGUAGGCGGCCCUCCUUGUCGCGUGUGAAAGCCCCGGGCUCAACCUGGGAAUUGCGCGCGAAACGGGGGGGCUUGAGUUCGGGAGAGGAGAGUGGAAUUCCCAGUGUAGAGGUGAAAUUCGUAGAUAUUGGGAAGAACACCGGUGGCGAAGGCGGCUCUCUGGACCGAGACUGACGCUGAGGCGCGAAAGCGUGGGGAGCAAACAGG